AGAGCGAACGCUGGCGGCAGGCCUAACACAUGCAAGUCGAACGGACCCUUCGGGGUUAGUGGCGGACGGGUGAGUAACACGUGGGAACGUGCCUUUUGGUUCGGAAUAGCUCCUGGAAACGGGUGGUAAUGCCGAAUGUGCCCUUCGGGGGGAAAGAUUUAUCGCCAUUAGAGCGGCCCGCGACUGAUUAGCUAGUUGGUAAGGUAAUGGCUUACCAAGGCGACGAUCAGUAGCUGGUCUGAGAGGAUGACCAGCCACAUUGGGACUGAGACACGGCCCAAACUCCUACGGGAGGCAGCAGUGGGGAAUCUUGCGCAAUGGGCGAAAGCCUGACGCAGCCACGCCGCGUGAAUGAUGAAGGUCUUAGGAUUGUAAAAUUCUUUCACCGGGACGAUAAUGACGGUACCCGGAGAAGAAGCCCGCUAACUUCGUGCCAGCAGCCGC
This 444-nucleotide ribosomal RNA is filed under the name uncultured soil bacterium. RNAcentral's name for it is "bacterial SSU rRNA". It matches the Rfam family "Bacterial small subunit ribosomal RNA", at positions 26 to 518 of the family's 1533-position model. The record is from RNAcentral.